ACGGAAGGCAGCAGUGGGGAAUAUUGCACAAUGGAGGAAACUCUGAUGCAGCGACACCGCGUGAGUGAAGAAGUAUUUCGGUAUGUAAAGCUCUAUCAGCAGGAAAGAAAAUGACGGUACCUGACUAAGAAGCCCCGGCUAACUACGUGCCAGCAGCCGCGGUAAUACGUAGGGGGCAAGCGUUAUCCGGAUUUACUGGGUGUAAAGGGAGCGUAGACGGUUUUGCAAGUCUGAAGUGAAAACCCGUGGCUCAACCACGGGAUUGCUUUGGAAACUGUAGAACUAGAGUGCAGGAGAGGUAAGUGGAAUUCCUAGUGUAGCGGUGAAAUGCGUAGAUAUUAGGAGGAACACCAGUGGCGAAGGCGGCUUACUGGACUGUAACUGACGUUGAGGCUCGAAAGCGUGGGGAGCAAACAGGAUUAGAUACCCUGGUA
Molecule: ribosomal RNA, 434 nt
Filed under: uncultured Clostridium sp.
Lineage: Bacteria; Bacillati; Bacillota; Clostridia; Eubacteriales; Clostridiaceae
Description: partial 16S ribosomal RNA
Rfam family: Bacterial small subunit ribosomal RNA
Source: RNAcentral